This 253-nucleotide ribosomal RNA is filed under the name uncultured bacterium. RNAcentral's name for it is "partial 16S ribosomal RNA". It matches the Rfam family "Bacterial small subunit ribosomal RNA", at positions 524 to 776 of the family's 1533-position model. The record is from RNAcentral.
UACAGAGGUCUCAAGCGUUGUUCGGAUUCAUUGGGCGUAAAGGGUGCGUAGGCGGCGCGGUAAGUCGGGUGUGAAAUCUCGGAGCUUAACUCCGAAACUGCAUUCGAUACUGCCGUGCUUGAGGACUGGAGAGGAGACUGGAAUUUACGGUGUAGCGGUGAAAUGCGUAGAGAUCAGGAGGAACACCGGUGGCGAAGGCGGCACCCUGGACCGACACUGACGCUGAGGCGCGAAAGCUAGGGUAGCAAACAGG